This 479-nucleotide ribosomal RNA is filed under the name uncultured bacterium. RNAcentral describes it as "bacterial SSU rRNA". It matches the Rfam family "Bacterial small subunit ribosomal RNA", at positions 32 to 500 of the family's 1533-position model. The record is from RNAcentral.
AAUCAACGCUGGCGGCGUGCCUAACACAUGCAAGUCGAACGCGAAAGCCCGCAAGGGUAAGUAGAGUGGCGCACGGGUGAGUAACACGUGGACAACCUGCCUUCGAGUGGGGAAUAACCUUCCGAAAGGAGGGCUAAUACCGCAUAACACCUCGGGACACAAGUUCUGGGGUUGAAAAGAGCAAUUUGCUCGAAGAGGGGUCCGCGCCUGAUUAGCUAGUUGGUGAGGUAACGGCUCACCAAGGCGACGAUCAGUAUCCGGCCUGAGAGGGCGGACGGACACACUGGGACUGAGACACGGCCCAGACUCCUACGGGAGGCAGCAGUGGGGAAUUGUUCGCAAUGGGCGCAAGCCUGACGACGCAACGCCGCGUGGAGGAUGAAGACCUUCGGGUCGUAAACUCCUUUCGAUCGAGACGAAUGGCUUCCGGGUGAACAAUCCGGAGGAGUGACGGUACCGAGAGAAGAAGCCCCGGCUAA